CUGCUCACUCGCUGUUCCCACCACACGCUGCUCAGAACACAUGUCAAAAAUUGACUUGCAGCUUGAAUCACCACAAGCCAAUUCUCCCUCUCUCUCCCCUUUGUCGAUUGCAUCUCCCACAUCACUAAAAGGCGUCUUUAUUUGGCUGAAUAAGUAAACAAUCAGGUAUCUUUUGGGUUGCAAUUUUGGUUUUGGUAACAAUCAGCAAAAGAUCAAGUUGUUCGUAUGCAACAUAUCAUGUGUUAGGUUAAGUGUUAAUCUUAAAUGAUUGUUCAAGGAAUCCAUGAAAUGUACAAAUCUUUAUAUUAAUUGCUUCACUGGUACAAGAGCACUCUUCUUUUACUUCACUCAAAAUCAAUCUAAAUGCAAUUACUAAUCAAUUUGAACUCAUUUGCCAAUACAAAUCGAUUACAAAUGCAAACCUUGACCACAGAUGC
RNAcentral lists this long non-coding RNA (437 nucleotides) under Citrus maxima (pomelo). RNAcentral's name for it is "long non-coding RNA (CMAX_LNC002890)". Lineage: Eukaryota; Viridiplantae; Streptophyta; Magnoliopsida; Sapindales; Rutaceae. The record is from RNAcentral.